Molecule: ribosomal RNA, 465 nt
Filed under: Vreelandella stevensii
Lineage: Bacteria; Pseudomonadati; Pseudomonadota; Gammaproteobacteria; Oceanospirillales; Halomonadaceae
Description: partial 16S ribosomal RNA
Rfam family: Bacterial small subunit ribosomal RNA
Source: RNAcentral
CCUACGGGUGGCAGCAGUGGGGAAUAUUGGACAAUGGGCGAAAGCCUGAUCCAGCCAUGCCGCGUGUGUGAAGAAGGCCUUCGGGUUGUAAAGCACUUUCAGUGGGGAAGAAAGCCUUGGGGCUAAUACCCUCGAGGAAGGACAUCACCCACAGAAGAAGCACCGGCUAACUCCGUGCCAGCAGCCGCGGUAAUACGGAGGGUGCGAGCGUUAAUCGGAAUUACUGGGCGUAAAGCGCGCGUAGGCGGUCUGAUAAGCCGGUUGUGAAAGCCCCGGGCUCAACCUGGGAACGGCAUCCGGAACUGUCAGGCUAGAGUGCAGGAGAGGAAGGUAGAAUUCCCGGUGUAGCGGUGAAAUGCGUAGAGAUCGGGAGGAAUACCAGUGGCGAAGGCGGCCUUCUGGACUGACACUGACGCUGAGGUGCGAAAGCGUGGGGAGCAAACAGGAUUAGAUACCCCUGUAGUC